Long non-coding RNA from Cydia strobilella, 164 nucleotides. RefSeq lists it as uncharacterized. The transcript has 3 exons. The record is from RefSeq and is a predicted model, not a curated record. Lineage: Eukaryota; Metazoa; Arthropoda; Insecta; Lepidoptera; Tortricidae.
CACGCCAAAGCAAGUGCUGCCAUCUUUUCUCGUACGUUUUCUUGUGCAUACAAGUGCUGCCAUCUUGUGGGCUACUUUGGAAGCAUAAACUACACAUUUACGCCUCGCGCCAAAAAUCUGACGUCUCCUAUGCUGCCCCCUACAGUUUAUGCACGCUCCCUAUA